RNAcentral lists this ribosomal RNA (3132 nucleotides) under Triticum aestivum (bread wheat). RNAcentral describes it as "partial small subunit ribosomal RNA". The record is from RNAcentral. Lineage: Eukaryota; Viridiplantae; Streptophyta; Magnoliopsida; Poales; Poaceae.
AUGGAGGCGGCGAUAAUCGGCGCGCUGCUGAAGACCACGCUGCCGAAGGCCCUCUCGGCGCUGGGCGGGAGCAGGGACGUGCGGUCCAUCCAGUCGGAGCUCAGGUACAUCGAGGCCACCAUCCAAGACCACCGCAAGAAGACCGGCGGCCGGGACACGAGCCACCUGCGGGCGGCGUGGAUCCGGGACCUCACGCUCUUCGCCUUCGACAUCGAGGACUGCGUCGACCGCUUCCUGCGGCAGGAGAUGCCGCCGGAGGACGGCGAGGCCGGCUUCCUCCGCCGCUCCGCCCGCGCCGCCAGGAGCACGGUGUUCACCCGCACGUUGUUCUCCCUCAGGAUCCGCAAGCUCAAGGCCAGAUCCGAGGAGAUUCACCGGCGCCUGAAGCGCUACAUCGAGGAGGAGACGGCGGAGGCGACGACGCCAGACUGCGGCGCGGCGUCGGUCCCUUCUGCUCGAUGCGGUGCUCCGGCGGCGGCCGUGGGGAUGGACGAGCCUCUUGGGGAGCUUCUUGAGCUCGUCCGGGAGCCUGGGACGCCGUCAGAGGGGAAGCUCAGGGUGAUCUCCGUCGUCGGCUUCCAUGGCAUGGGCAAGACUCUUCUUGCCCACCAGGUGUUUGAUCACGGCGAUGUGCGCCGCCUGUUCCCUAUGCGCGUUUGGGUUUGCGCGGCGGGCAAGGGCACGCCGGAGGUUCUCAAGGAGAUGCUCGAUCAAGUGCUCCAGAGUGGUGCGGGCACCUCCGCCGAUGGUGCCCGGCAGGUUGACUCUGCACCUGUGGCCACGACGACCACUUCCAACGCCAACGGCGCCGUCCCAGAGGUUGAGGAAAAUGGUGUUGAGCAAGUCCAGAAUGGUGAGAGUGCCUCAGUCAGUGUUGCCCACGGCAUCAGUACAUGGCGCCAGUGCCUCCAAGCAGUUUGGUGGACUCUGGCGACGAUAAUGCUGUACAUCUUGUCCCCGGCGUUCACCGUGGCGAACAUGGUGCAAGCCUCUUCUCUCCAAGUUGAGUCUGCAGACAUGCAUAGCGCUACUGCAAAUGCGAGUAUCUCCACAAGCACCAAGAUCGUUGCACAAGUUGAUGGGAACAAGAAUGUCCAGAUGAAGAGGCAAGCUGACAGGGGCAAGGCUAUUCAGGAGGGCACUCACGCUCACCAGGACGCUGUAGAUGAUACGACGCUCAUCGAACAACGUCUAGGAUCAUACCUGAAGAAUAAAAGGUAUUUGAUUGUAAUUGAUGGCAUGCAAACAGAAGAGUUGUGCAACAUAACAUCUGUAUUCCCUGUGGAUGACGGAGUGGACAGCAGAGUUAUUGUGACGACAACCAUUAAGAAAAUAGCAAGACGCUGCAGCUCUGCCAAUGGCCGUGUGUACAAAAUGAAAACACUUGACGACAAUGAUUCAAGAAAGCUGUUCUUCGAAGUAUUUUCCAAGGGUAAAUAUUCAGUUGCAGAUGCAACGGAGUUGAAAGCAUCUGCCCUCCUGGAGAAAUGUGGCGGCCUACCGCUUGCCCUUGAAAGCAAAGCAAAGUUUCUGAAGAGUGAGGAAGACCUGACAAAGAGUAAAUGUGAAGAUGCCUGCCGCAAGCUUUGUGCUCCAGAAAGAUGUGAUGACACAUUGGGAAGAAUGCAUGGGGUUCUCGCCAGCAGCUACGAGAGUCUAUGUAGCCUUGUUCUCCAGCAGUGCUUGCUAUAUUUCUGUAUGUUCCCGCGUGGCCAUCGUGUCAGGCGGAAUCCUCUAAUCAGGCGGUGGCUGGCGGAAGGACUUGUGCAUGUACAACCAGGGGAUGCAGUGAGCACAACACCCCAAGACAUCGCAAUUGAGAAUUUGGAGACCCUGAUUGACCGCAGUAUCAUUCAGUCCACGGAAGUGAGCACCUGUGGGCAUGUGAAGAGAUGCCAACCUCCUGGGAUGAUGCUCGAGUACAUUGUCCGCAAGUCCAUGUCUCAAAAUUUCAUCACCUUGCUUUGUGGUGAGAGUGAGACGACCGGAGAAUGGGACUACGUUCGCCGACUUUCUCUCCAUGAUUACUGUGCUGAAAAACUGCCCAAGGGCUUAUCUCGUCUGCGGACCCUGGCGGUAUUCCCUACCGGGGAUGCUGCUAAACACGGACCUACAUUGAAUUUUGCCAAGUAUGACCUACUGCGAGUGUUGGAUUUAGAAGAAUGUGAUGGUCUGAAUGACGGGCACCUCCAGAACAUAUGCAACCUUGUGUUUCUGAAAUAUCUGAGCCUCGGGGGGCGCAUUAGUGAGGUUCCAAAGAAAAUUGCCAAGCUGCAAUGGUUGGAGACACUGGACCUGAGAAGAACAAAGAUAGAGAAGGUGCCCAUAGAAGUCAUCCAGCUCCCCCAAUUAAAACAUCUCCAUGGCAAAUUUCAGCUUAUUGAAGGUGACUGCGGAAAGAUAAAUCCAGAGUACUUGUCUAAGAGAUGUACCCUGGAGACACUUUCAGGAUUUGUUACAGGAGAGAGCGAAGGAUUUCCACAGCUGAUGAGGCACAUGAAGCGGCUGAGGAAGGUGAAAAUAUGGUGUGAAUCCACCGCAAGCAGAAGAAACCUGAACCAACUUGAAGAAGCCAUUAAGGUGUUCAUUCGUGAUGGGAACGAAUGGCCUCAUCGCUCCCUAUGCAUUGACUUCCAAGAAUGCUCAGACCCAUUCUUGGGUUCUCUGAAGGCCCCUGGCAGUCUUGCCUCGCUGAAGCUGCGCGGCAAACUCAGCGGAUUCCCUCAGUUUGUUACGAAGCUGAACAGAAUCGAGGAGCUGUGUCUGUCGUCGACUAACCUAAGCCGGGGUGUUCUUCUAUCUGGGAGUCGUCUGGAUACACUUAAGUAUCUGAAGCUGAUCGAAGACAACAUCGGGCCUCUCGAAAUACGCCACGAGCACUUCCCAAGCAUCCGGCGCAUAUGGCUCGUCGGCGUGAAAAGUCUGCACUCUGUAACGACCGGAGCUCUGCCACAUCUUACUUCGCUUCAUAUGAUCUGUGAAUCUUUAGAUGGUCUUGCUGGCAUCGAAAUCAGACGCCUAGAAGGAUUAAAGGAAAUCAGGCUGCAUUCUGCAGUCGAUCAAGGAACAAAAGAUGCAUGGAAGAAAACUGCAAGGAGCCACCCGAAAAGGCCUGACGUUCUUCUUCACUGA